RNAcentral lists this unclassified non-coding RNA (486 nucleotides) under Hevea brasiliensis (rubber tree). Lineage: Eukaryota; Viridiplantae; Streptophyta; Magnoliopsida; Malpighiales; Euphorbiaceae. The record is from RNAcentral.
AUUAACCAAGUCAUUUGGCCACCCAAAGUUGUUAACCUAAAACUGCCAGAACCAGUUUGUGCCCAGAAAUAUGGGUUAAGUCCAAUCCGGCAACUAUGAUUCAAAUGGCUAUAACUUGAAAUGUUACAUUUACAUGUUCUUGUUUGCUUGAAUUUGUAAGUUCAUGUUUAGGUCUAUGUGAGUAUGCAGGCACAUGUCAGUACUCUAUCCUUUCGACAUUUUUCAUGUUUCAAGCUCACAGAAAAACUGCAAGAAAAGAUACAUCUGCUGGUUGAAGUUGAUUCUACAUAAUCUCCAUCAUGCAACCCUUAAGUAUUUAUUUCAUGUUAUCAUCCUUUAUGUGGAGCUUCAGUGUUCCAAGUCGAAUGCGAUGCUUGAUUAAAGCUAUCUUUGCAUUACUCCAGUCAUUCUCAAAUGCCAUAAAAGCUAACACUAUUUCUUUAGUUUGUACAAUCAAGUUGUUAGAUGAGAAUGUUAAGGUGGAUG